Molecule: long non-coding RNA, 561 nt
Organism: Haliotis rubra (blacklip abalone)
Lineage: Eukaryota; Metazoa; Mollusca; Gastropoda; Lepetellida; Haliotidae
Exons: 2
Source: RefSeq, a predicted model, not a curated record
UGGAAGUUUAUGGAUAACAACUACUUGUUUUUUAACAAAGAAUAAAGAAAUUGUUAUCCAUAAAAAGUGUUGUUUAUGUCCAGUAAUAUAUAUUGCCUUGAGGUUUGAUUCCUUUUUGAGAUGAACUCGAGCACCUCUUUUUUUGUAACAGACCAAAAUAUUUAAUGAUCACUAGGUUUCUCUGUCAAAAGUUGAGUAGUAUAUGUCUUAAGUAGGUAACUGAAUAAGAAAUUUAGGAUGGGACAAAAUGUUUGACAUCAGGUGUUUAUAUUGGAAGAAAUGAGUGCCAAGUACUGUGUAGGCUGGGGCUACAGGGACUGUGUAGGCUGGGGCUACAGGGACUGUGUAGGCUGGGGCUACAGGGACUGCUGGGAUACAGGGGCCCUCACUGUGCCAUGUUAUAUAGAGAUUUAUUGUACAGAGGCUAUUUUGUCUAAGACAAGUGUAUUGAGAAAAAUUAUUCUGUUUUGAUACAGGAAUGAUCAAGCAUUUGGUUGUAGAUAGCUAGAAUAAGCUUAGCUGUAAAUAUGUUAGCUAUGCAAUAAAAAGAUAUGAACUGGU